UCCGCAGUAGCUCAGUGGUAGAGCUAUCGGCUGUUAACCGAUCGGUCGUAGGUUCGAGUCCUACCUGUGGAG
Molecule: transfer RNA, 72 nt
Filed under: Neobacillus citreus
Lineage: Bacteria; Bacillati; Bacillota; Bacilli; Caryophanales; Bacillaceae
Description: tRNA-Asn
Rfam family: tRNA
About the family: Transfer RNA (tRNA) molecules are approximately 80 nucleotides in length. Their secondary structure includes four short double-helical elements and three loops (D, anti-codon, and T loops).
Source: RNAcentral